RNAcentral lists this ribosomal RNA (253 nucleotides) under uncultured bacterium. RNAcentral's name for it is "partial 16S ribosomal RNA". It matches the Rfam family "Bacterial small subunit ribosomal RNA", at positions 524 to 776 of the family's 1533-position model. The record is from RNAcentral.
UACGUAGGGAGCAAGCGUUGUCCGGAAUCAUUGGGCGUAAAGCGCGCGUAGGCGGCCUCAUAAGUCCGUUGUGAAAGUCAAAGGCUCAACCUUUGAAAGCCGAUGGAUACUGUGAGGCUAGAGUUCGGAAGAGGCGAGUGGAAUUCCUGGUGUAGCGGUGGAAUGCGCAGAUAUCAGGAGGAACACCAAUAGCGAAGGCAGCUCGUUGGGACGAUACUGACGCUAAGGCGCGAAAGCGUGGGGAGCGAACAGG